GACGAACGCUGGCGGCGUGCUUAACACAUGCAAGUCGAACGGUAAGGCCCUUCGGGGUACACGAGUGGCGAACGGGUGAGUAACACGUGGGUGAUCUGCCCUGCACUUCGGGAUAAGCCUGGGAAACUGGGUCUAAUACCGGAUAGAACCACUGCCUGCAUGGGUGGUGGUGGAAAGCUUUUUCGGUGUGGGAUGGGCCCGCGGCCUAUCAGCUUGUUGGUGGGGUGAUGGCCUACCAAGGCGACGACGGGUAGCCGGCCUGAGAGGGUGACCGGCCACACUGGGACUGAGAUACGGCCCAGACUCCUACGGGAGGCAGCAGUGGGGAAUAUUGCACAAUGGGCGCAAGCCUGAUGCAGCGACGCCGCGUGAGGGAUGACGGCCUUCGGGUUGUAACCCUCUUUCAGCACCGACGAAGCGCAAGUGACGGUAGGUGCAGAAGAAGGACCGGCCAACUACGUGCCAGCAGCCGCAGUAA
RNAcentral lists this ribosomal RNA (478 nucleotides) under uncultured bacterium. Its description in RNAcentral is "partial 16S ribosomal RNA". It matches the Rfam family "Bacterial small subunit ribosomal RNA", at positions 28 to 523 of the family's 1533-position model. The record is from RNAcentral.